This is a long non-coding RNA of Gadus chalcogrammus (walleye pollock), 690 nucleotides long. RefSeq lists it as uncharacterized. The record is from RefSeq and is a predicted model, not a curated record. The transcript is spliced from 3 exons. NCBI's taxonomy places the organism in Eukaryota, Metazoa, Chordata, Actinopteri, Gadiformes, Gadidae.
GGGCCUUUAAUUAGUGCUGCAGUACCGGCCUAUCACUGUUGGGUGCGCUGCCUAUAAAGGUGGGUGGUUGUGCACUGGGAGCACUCUUGCCUGGGAGCUCCUGGCUACCCCGCCCCCUGUUGUCACCGAAACCUGAUCGCCUCACCUGAUCGCCUUUUAGUUGGAUCGUGCAGCUCGCCGUUGUUUGGCAGUUUAUUGGCCGGGUCUUCCCUCGCCCGUAUCGACCCCAGUUGUAGGGCGUGCGAGUGUUUCCUCCUCUACCUGUUGCAGCGGGGAGCGAUCAGCUGUAGAUCGAGUUGCACUUGUAAUGGUGUUGCUCGCUACAGGUGGUCCCCUUCCUCCCCUUUGAUGUUCAUUCAACUCCUGACGGGUUGACGUGUGUGUGGGCGGUUUCUGCCAGCACGUCCCCCCCCCCUCUUCACGCUGCUGUUGGCCGGCUGCCGUUUUGUCCACUGAUUAUAUAGCCAACACAUCGAUCCUACUCUGCAUCUCCUACUGUGCUGUACCUGCCCCGAGUAUGGUGAUUGCUGCCUCACCCUAAGUCUCAUUAUUUUGAUCCAUUCAUUUAACAGACUUCCAACUGAUCUUAUUGAUGAUAUUAUUUGUGUUUUGUGGGUUGCUUUGCAUGUUUGUUUUGGCUUAAUUGCUUUACUUAUCCAUGAUAUUAUUUGUGUUUUGUGGGUUGCUUUG